AGUCGAGGGGCAGCAUGAUUGAAGCUUGCUUCAAUUGAUGGCGACCGGCGCACGGGUGAGUAACGCGUAUCCAACCUUCCGUACACUCAGGGAUAGCCUUUCGAAAGAAAGAUUAAUACCCGAUGGUAUGAUGAGAUUGCAUGAUAGCAUCAUUAAAGAUUUAUCGGUGUACGAUGGGGAUGCGUUCCAUUAGGUAGUAGGCGGGGUGACGGCCCACCUAGCCGACGAUGGAUAGGGGUUCUGAGAGGAAGGUCCCCCACAUUGGAACUGAGACACGGUCCAAACUCCUACGGGAGGCAGCAGUGAGGAAUAUUGGUCAAUGGACGAGAGUCUGAACCAGCCAAGUAGCGUGAAGGAUGAAGGUCCUACGGAUUGUAAACUUCUUUUAUAAGGGAAUAAAACCUCCCACGUGUGGGAGCUUGUAUGUACCUUAUGAAUAAGCAUCGGCUAACUCCGUGCCAGCAGCCGCGGUAAUACGGAGGAUGCGAGCGUUAUCCGGAUUUAUUGGGUUUAAAGGGAGCGCAGACGGGUCGUUAAGUCAGCUGUGAAAGUUUGGGGCUCAACCUUAAAAUUGCAGUUGAUACUGGCGUCCUUGAGUGCGGUUGAGGUGUGCGGAAUUCGUGGUGUAGCGGUGAAAUGCUUAGAUAUCACGAAGAACUCCGAUUGCGAAGGCAGCACACUAAGCCGUAACUGACGUUCAUGCUCGAAAGUGUGGGUAUC
RNAcentral lists this ribosomal RNA (720 nucleotides) under uncultured bacterium. RNAcentral's name for it is "bacterial SSU rRNA". It matches the Rfam family "Bacterial small subunit ribosomal RNA", at positions 60 to 769 of the family's 1533-position model. The record is from RNAcentral.